RNAcentral lists this ribosomal RNA (433 nucleotides) under uncultured bacterium. RNAcentral describes it as "partial 16S ribosomal RNA". It matches the Rfam family "Bacterial small subunit ribosomal RNA", at positions 29 to 507 of the family's 1533-position model. The record is from RNAcentral.
AACGAACGCUGGCGGCAUGCCUAACACAUGCAAGUCGAACGAGACCUUCGGGUAGAGUGGUGUAAGUGUGCGUAACGCGGGGGGACCGGCCAAUAGGUUAGGAAUAACCCCCCGAAAGGGGGGUAAAUACCGGAAAAAGUCAUCGGAACAAAGAUUUAUCGCCUUUGGAUGGGCCCGAGUUGAAUUAGCUAGUUGGUAGGGUAAAAGCCUACCAAGGCGUCGAUCCAUAGCUGGUCUGAGGGCUUGACCAGCCACCCUGGGACUGCGGCACGGCGCAGAAUGCUACGGGGAGCAGCGGUCGGGAGUAUUAGACAGUCGGCGCGAGUCUGGUCCGACUGUGCCGUGUGUUUUAUGCAGGCCUUGGGGUUGUAUAGCCCUAUUUCCCGGGAUGUUGAUGACUGUACCGGAAGAAUAAGCACCGGCUAACUCCGUG